Podarcis lilfordi (Lilford's wall lizard) is the source of this 71-nucleotide non-coding RNA. The record is from the annotation of a GenBank genome assembly. NCBI's taxonomy places the organism in Eukaryota, Metazoa, Chordata, Lepidosauria, Squamata, Lacertidae.
GCUGACAGCUCAGUCAUUAGAGCUUUGUGCUGAUAACUCCAAGGUUGCAGAUUCGAUCCCUGUUUGGGACA